AGUGGAGCAAACACAGACAGUCUCAGGGCUUGCUCUGUCCACAGAGCCGACCAGUUGUGCUUGGAAUUGAAUCUGCAGCUUCAAGCUGAGUCAUGCUGUCUGCCCAUGCGCUCUCAUUUCAGAUAACUGAGAUCAAGCCUGCCUUCUGCAUUUCUUAAACUAAUUCUGGGACUAUCUGUGUCAGACUCUCUCCAUGGAGGCUAGGUAUGCAAGAUGCAGGCAUUACCUCAUCUGAAGAGUGGUAGCCACUGGACUCAGAAAUGGCAAGGAGAACAAGCCACAAAGGUGAUUGCUAGACACACUAAGAGUGGAGAGCAGUUGGCCUGGUGAACUGUACUUCCUCUUGUGGUACACACAUUUACAGCCUGGUGUAAUUAUCAUUCUUACAGAGGUCAGGAGGACAUAUUUUGAUACCUAUGGAAUAGGAUAAUAAUAAACUUUCCAAGAACAAAAAAAAAAAAAAA
RNAcentral lists this long non-coding RNA (464 nucleotides) under Mus musculus (house mouse). Its description in RNAcentral is "RIKEN cDNA 1700054K19 gene (1700054K19Rik)". The record is from RNAcentral. Lineage: Eukaryota; Metazoa; Chordata; Mammalia; Rodentia; Muridae.